This 392-nucleotide ribosomal RNA is filed under the name uncultured bacterium. RNAcentral describes it as "partial 16S ribosomal RNA". It matches the Rfam family "Bacterial small subunit ribosomal RNA", at positions 523 to 918 of the family's 1533-position model. The record is from RNAcentral.
AUACGGAGGAUGCGAGCGUUAUCCGGAUUUAUUGGGUUUAAAGGGAGCGUAGGCGGGAGCUUAAGUCAGCGGUUAAAUGGUGCGGCUCAACCGUGCCCUGCCGUUGAAAUUGGGUUUCUUGAGAGUGCAAGAGGCGGAUGGAAUUCAUGGUGUAGCGGUGGAGUGCUUAGAUAUCAUGAAGAACUCCGAUUGCGAAGGCAGUCCGCUGGGGCACGUCUGACGCUGAUGCUCGAAGGUGCGGGAAUCAAACAGGAUUAGAUACCCUGGUAGUCCGCACGGUAAACGAUGAUUACCCGCUGUCGGCGGCAGACAGUCGGCGGCCAAGCGAAAGCGAUAAGUAAUCCACCUGGGGAGUACGCCGGCAACGGUGAAACUCAAAGGAAUUGACGGGG